Molecule: long non-coding RNA, 86 nt
Organism: Chiroxiphia lanceolata (lance-tailed manakin)
Lineage: Eukaryota; Metazoa; Chordata; Aves; Passeriformes; Pipridae
Exons: 3
Source: RefSeq, a predicted model, not a curated record
GGUGAUCUCAUACAAGCAUAGAAUCACAGAAUAUCCUAAUUUGAAAGGGUCCCACAACGAUCAUCAAGUUCAGCUCCUGGCCUUGU